Molecule: ribosomal RNA, 465 nt
Filed under: uncultured bacterium
Lineage: Bacteria
Description: partial 16S ribosomal RNA
Rfam family: Bacterial small subunit ribosomal RNA
Source: RNAcentral
CUACGGGUGGCACCAGUGAGGAAUUUUGCGCAAUGGGGGCAACCCUGACGCAGCAACGCCGCGUGAGUGAUGAAGGCCUUAGGGUCGUAACGCUCUGUCAAGUGGAAAGAAGUUACGUAUAAUUAAAAGUUGUAUGUAUUGACGGUACCACUAAAGGAAGCACCGGCUAACUCCGUGCCAGCAGCCGCGGUAACACGGGGGGUGCAAGCGUUAUUCGGAAUUAUUGGGCGUAAAGGGCACGUAGGCGGUUUGUCAAGUCAGAUGUGAAAGCCCGGGGCUCACCCUGGGAAGUGCAUUUGAAACUGGCAGACUUGAGUAUGGUAGAGGGAAGUGGAAUUCCUGGUGUAGAGGUGAAAUUCGUAGAUAUCAGGAGGAACACCGGUGGCGAAGGCGACUUCCUGGACCAAUACUGACGCUGAUGUGCGAAGGCGUGGGGAGCAAACAGGAUUAGAUACCCGAGUAGUC